GGGGCGGCGGGGCCGGGGGCCUGCGGCGGACGGGGGAGGGGCGGCGGACGGGGGACGGGCCCCGGGGAGUCCGCGGGUGGCAGGCGGGCGACUAGCGCGGCAGCCGGAGGGCAUCCCCGCCCCGCCCGGGACCCCGGGAAGCAAGAGUAAUUUCAAGGCAGGCCCAGCAGUGACGACUUGGAAACCCAUCUUAAGAUGUCUCAGGUGUCAGUUUUCCCCUCCUCCUCUUAUUCAAGCUCACACCCUUUAUGCCCUCUCCUACCAGCAUCUUAGUGAACAAGACAGAAUUUGCUGAAGGGGAGACGUGAUUUAUGUCACGUGGGCUGUAGCAGCUGGAACCCCGCUACGGCACACCUCUUUCUCCAGAGUACACACUCUCCGCUUCUGCCACAGGGAUCUCUUCCCAUCCCUACCCCAUCCUACCUCCCAGCCUCCAGCUUUCCUGCUCUUCACCUUCCCCCCCCACCAGCCCUAUGUAGACUCCUCAAUCCUUCAUUAUUCAGAGGAAUGCAUUUCAUCCUAGUUUCUACAUCCAAACCUGUGCCCAAUGAAUGACCUUGUUCAGCAAAACAGCAAGUUCUUCCAGUUACAGGACCUUCCCUCUUCAGGAAAUAGAAGGCGAUUAUAAAUAGUAUUCUUCUUUUGUAAACCUAAUUAACACAAAACGACUAAAUGGGGUUUUUUCAUGAAGUCUUCAUGUGGAGCUUGUUGGAGCCAGCUUUUGAAGAGUACAGCGGACACAGGUCUGCAAGGCAGGGUACAAAGAAGACGUCCAGGAGGGGAUUGCCGGCUGCUGUCCUGCUCUGGAUGAACUAGGGUCCCAGAACCGGGAAACAGGCUAUGCUCAAUAACAAAAAGACCCCAGAAGACAGUGACUUGACAAGUAAUUUCUCUGUCACUCAGUAGUCCAGUAAGGAGGAUGUCCGGGAUGGGGAAGUAGCUCUGCUUCACUGG
Long non-coding RNA from Acinonyx jubatus (cheetah), 954 nucleotides. RefSeq lists it as uncharacterized. The record is from RefSeq and is a predicted model, not a curated record. The transcript is spliced from 4 exons. NCBI's taxonomy places the organism in Eukaryota, Metazoa, Chordata, Mammalia, Carnivora, Felidae.